Non-coding RNA from Podarcis lilfordi (Lilford's wall lizard), 257 nucleotides. The record is from the annotation of a GenBank genome assembly. NCBI's taxonomy places the organism in Eukaryota, Metazoa, Chordata, Lepidosauria, Squamata, Lacertidae.
UCUGCCCUCCAUCUUUCCCAACAUCAGGGUCUUUUCCAGGGAGUCUUCUCUUCUCAUGAGGUGGCCAAAGUAUUGGAGCCUCAGCUUCACGAUCUGUCCUUCCAGUGAGCACUCAGGGCUGAUUUCCUUAAGAAUGGAUAGGUUUGAUCUUCUUGCAGUCCAUGGGACUCUCAAGAGUCUCCUCCAGCACCAGAAUUCAAAAGCAUCCAUUCUUCGGCGAUCAGCCUUCUUUAUGGUCCAGCUCUCACUUCCAUACA